This 427-nucleotide long non-coding RNA is filed under the name Androctonus crassicauda. The record is from RNAcentral. Lineage: Eukaryota; Metazoa; Arthropoda; Arachnida; Scorpiones; Buthidae.
GCAUCAGAGGACAAUAUUAAGUCUAUGGGAUCCUAUAAUAAUCCUAUUACCAUAGGAUUACUAUGGGAUUUAAUAUUUCCAUAGACUUAAUACUGCCUUCUGAUGCUAUCAUCAAGUACAGCAAACAUUAGUAGUGAGAAAUCCAUAAAUUUUGGGCAUUUAUGACUUAUGAUGGUGGGAUGUGAAGUGAUUCAUGCUGUCAAGAGGUACCUGUAAUGCAUAGCCAGUUUUUCCAGUAUUCUAUCUUGUUAUCAUUAGCAGUAGCAUACACAAAAUCUUUGAUACCUUUUGGCCUCCCUCUCCCCCUCCAAAAACACAUAUGUUUUAACUUUCAAAAAUACAUUUUAUUUUACAUUCUGCAGCACUUAACAUUUAUGAAAUGUUCAAUAAAAUUGUACAUUUUGAUUUUAAUUCAGAUUAACUAUCU